UAGGAAGCGGCUGUAGAAGUGAUAAGUUGUAGCCUUAUUUAUGGGGAUAAAGUUCCUCCUUUCU
This 64-nucleotide transfer RNA is filed under the name Donax trunculus (truncated wedgeshell). RNAcentral describes it as "tRNA-Tyr". The record is from RNAcentral. Lineage: Eukaryota; Metazoa; Mollusca; Bivalvia; Cardiida; Donacidae.